GGGGAUUUAGCUCAGUGGCAUAAGCGCCUGCCUUGCAAGCAGGUAGUUGUGGGUUCGAUCCCUGGUACCCA
This 71-nucleotide transfer RNA is filed under the name Cavia porcellus (domestic guinea pig). It matches the Rfam family "tRNA". Rfam says of the family: Transfer RNA (tRNA) molecules are approximately 80 nucleotides in length. Their secondary structure includes four short double-helical elements and three loops (D, anti-codon, and T loops). Further hydrogen bonds mediate the characteristic L-shaped molecular structure. tRNAs have two regions of fundamental functional importance: the anti-codon, which is responsible for specific mRNA codon recognition, and the 3' end, to which the tRNAs corresponding amino acid is attached (by aminoacyl-tRNA synthetases). tRNAs cope with the degeneracy of the genetic code in two manners: having more than one tRNA (with a specific anti-codon) for a particular amino acid; and 'wobble' base-pairing, i.e. permitting non-standard base-pairing at the 3rd anti-codon position. Lineage: Eukaryota; Metazoa; Chordata; Mammalia; Rodentia; Caviidae. The record is from Rfam by way of RNAcentral.